GACAGAGGGUGCAAACGUUGCUCGGAAUUACUGGGCGUAAAGCGCGUGUAGGCGGACCACCAAGUCGGACGUGAAAUCCCUCAGCUCAACUGAGGACGUGCAUCCGAAACUGGCGAGCUUGAGUGCUGAAGAGGAUCGCGGAAUUCCCGGUGUAGAGGUGAAAUUCGUAGAUAGUCGGGAGGAACACCAGUGGCGAAGGCGGCGAUCUGGGCAGACACUGACGCUGAGGUGCGAAAGCGUGGGGAGCAAACAGG
RNAcentral lists this ribosomal RNA (254 nucleotides) under uncultured bacterium. Its description in RNAcentral is "partial 16S ribosomal RNA". It matches the Rfam family "Bacterial small subunit ribosomal RNA", at positions 524 to 776 of the family's 1533-position model. The record is from RNAcentral.